UGAGCCCUGGGGAACUCCUGUGGCAAGGGGCCGAGGUGUCGAUACCGUACCAGCCCAGGCAACCUGGAAGGAGCGACCAGAGAGGUAGGACUCAAUCCAGUCCAGGUCUGUGCCACAGAUGCCCGUUGUUGUUCACUGCUUCGAAUAACAAAACGGAUCCUUCAGCCUGUCCAUAGCAGUUUGUGAGUCACAGGUGAGACUUGAGACUGUGGGCUCUCAGAAGCCACUGCACAUCAGAGGCGGGCACAGCCUCGGUCCUUCAGGAGUUUACGGCAGAAACACUGUCAGGGUAUAGGUGGGUGGAGAAGGAGGGAGGGGAGGCUAGACGCACUUAUCUGCAGAGAACGCCCCGUUUUGUAAAGCCUGUCCAACGCGAUCAGGGCAGGGAAUGGGGCCUUUGGUCGUCCUUUCGAAUCACAGACGUGGGCGUACACAGGUGCAGAUGCCCAGACGGCCCUGGCCUCUUCCCUGCCAUUCAGCAAUUCUAGUGCAUAACUAAGCGAUUACAGGCGACAGGUCUAUGGUGUGGGCCUGAUUAGAGGAAACGGCCACUUUUAGGGUAUGCCUAGAUGCAUAAGAGUCAAUGGUAGAUGUGUGGAAUAAUCUAAAAUGACAUUUUGGGGGGGAACUUGGCAUGUUAUACAAGAGUCUACUGAAAACGGAGAACUGAGAGAAAUAUUUUCUUGGGGGAGAAAACAACAAUGGCAGCCUCAGUCUGCACAGGCAGAAUCCUACGCUACAACAGACUCUACACCGGUUCUUCACAGAAGUGUGCCAAGUGCAAAAGAAGUGGAGCCACUGUUGGGUGUGAGGUGAGGAGGUGUAAAAGGAGUUGCCAUUACCCAUGUGCUCUGGAGGCCGACGCAGAAAACAUUGAGGAUGUUGACCGAGGCAUUUUUAAGAUAUAUUGCAAUUUGCACAAGACAAAGGAUGACAGCAACGACAGUGACAGCUCUAUGGAGAGAAAAAGACCUCGUCUCUCCAUUGGGUCUACAGUGAAGAGGACACUGGCCUAUGAUUCUUCCACCUCAGGACUCACAAGAGUAUAACUUCACCUGCAAAUGCAUUGCAAUGCGUAUUGGUUGUGCAUGAAAGGACUGCUAUUGACUGAAAGCGGGCUUCUUUUAUCUGUAAUCAUAGUAUAACUGAUCAGAUGAUCUGAUAGGGUUUUUGCAGUACUGCGUCUGUGUGCAUUUCAGACAAAAGCCAAAAUGGCCUUGACCCUGUCCUGGGACCACUGGAGUCUGACUUGGACGACAGUAGAGAGUUGGGAGUAAAUGUAAGCAAUACCGUCAUAAUCUUUCAGAGCAGGUGGGUGGGACACACCGCUAUCAGUAUUGGCACACCACUAUCGGAAUUAGCACACACUAAUGCUUGGCUAAAGCAUUAGACAGUUCCUUUGGGCACAAGAGUAAAGGUGAGAAACACCAGUGAAUUUCCAGAGAUCAGUCCAGAGAUCAGUCCAGAGAGCAGUCCAGAGAGCAGUCCAGAGAGCAGUCCAGAGAUCAGUCCAGAGAGCAGUCCAGAGAGGAGUCCAGAGAUCAGUCCAGAGAGGAGUCCAGAGAUCAGUCCAGAGAUCAGUCCAGAGAUCAGUCCAGAGAGGAGUCCAGAGAUCAGUCCAGAGAUCAGUCCAGAGAGCAGUCCAGAGAUCAGUCCAGAGAUCAGUCCAGAGAGCAGUCCAGAGAGCAGUCCAGAGAGCAGAGAGCAGGUUGCAUACUAGGUGGAAGAUGGGUGCACAAGGAUGGCAUAUUAGAGGGCACCAUUUCCUGCUGUGAUACCUCUGCACCAAUCAGUUUCGACCAUCUGACGCCAGUCUACAGCCACCAACUGCACAGGUAUCAUUGGUGAAACGGGUCGGUGGUCCCAUAGGUGUGCAAAGCUUUUUUAGCAAAAUUAAAGCCAGAAUAAGCAUCAUACUCAAUGACCCUGCGGAAGCUUGGAAAUAGGAAUAUGAAAAAGGACAGUCAUGGAGGUGUGAAUUCUUUUUUUUUAAAACUAAUUUAAGUAUUUAAUUAUUUAACAAUUUGUAGGGAAGAAUACAUUUCCUGAUUGAACUGCUUUGCUUUUACCCCGUAUGCUUCAUACUGUAAUAAAAUACUAUUUUUGCUGUCUUAAUACAUUGUUGCUAACCGGAAUAUCGGACUACUAGUUUUACUACACAAAGGACCAAAUUCCUACAUUGGCGAGCCAGCGACAGACAAGUGGGGACGAUUGGAAAAAACUUUUUAUUUUCCAUCAAGAUAAAUCCUACAUUUAUAAAAGCAAGGACAAUUGGAGAACGUUCUCUUUUCCAUCAAGAAAAUCCACACCACUCAAUUUGUUUAUCAACAGAGAAUCCAAGAACAUUCGCACAGCCACACCAAGCCAGGACUUUGUUUGUUGCACAGAGAGAAGAUAGACCUUUUGCUGCUGCAAGGAAACAAGACAGACUGGACCUCCAUCUCAAAUCCGCAAUUUCCUUGGGACCUUUUGUAUUACAGGUUUUCUGCAUUAUCCCGCUGUGGAUAAUAGAUUUUUAUGGUUGUGUAACAAUGAGAUUUGUCAGCUGUGGCAGAGUUGAGCAAAAUAGCACAGAUUUAGGAGUAAAUUCAAGACUUAGGCAUGAUAAUUCUCCUGUGAAUUUAAUACGUAAAUUCUGACCUGUUUAACAGUUAAGUUAGCUUCACAGGGUUAAAAGGGAGGUGUGUUUGUAGAGGAACUGGACUUUUUUAAAGUACCAGCAGGGUAUCCCAUGUUUAUCCUGUGGCCUUGAGGUAAACCACCACAGUUGGUUUAUUGUACACGGUAGAUAUAUUGCUCUGACCUGUUUAGCAGUGAAGUUAGAUUUACAGGGUUAAACGGGAGGUGUGUUUGUAGAGGAACUGGACUUUUUGGAAAAAGUACCAGCAGGGUAUCCCAUGGUUAUUCUGUGUCCUUGAGGUAAACCACCACAGUUGGUAUAUUGUACAUGGUAGAUAUAUUUUUCUGACCUGUUUAGCAGUGAAGGUAGCUUCACAGGGUUAAACGGGAGGUGUGCUUGUAGAGGAACUGGACUUUUUUAAAGUACCAGCAGGGUAUCCCACAUUUAUCCUGUGUCCUUGAGUUAAACGACCACAGUAGGUAUAUUGUACAUAGGUGUACUCAGAACCUAGGAUAAUUUUUACAUUACAUUACAUUACAUGGCAUUUAGCAGAAGCUCUUAUCCAGAGCGACGUACAACAAAGUGCAGAUCAAACACAAGAACAAGUGCGAAGAGUCCUAGUGUAAACAUACAGAUAUAAUCUGAACCCUUGAAGAAUACAUCAACUCCCAAACUAGCAUACCACAGUUGGCAGCUAGAAUACCCCGAGUAGGCAGCUAGAAUACCCCGAGAAUACCCGAUAAUGGAGUAUGCCAUUGAGUAUAUUGCAAAACAUUGCAAAGAGGGAUCCUAUGGAUCUCUGUUAGAAAAAUCAGAUCCUCUAGUUUGGCUUGAGGAAGCAUGUGAACAGCGCAAUAGUAAAUGUAAAAGUAAAAAAAAUAUAUACGAUAUACUAAACAUUAGUGAAUCAUUGAAAAUAUACUACUAAACAUCAGUGAAUCAUUGAAAAUAUGAUAUACUAAACAUCAGUGAAUCAUUGAAAAUAUACUAUUAAACAUCAGUGAAUCAUUGAAAAUAUACUACUAAACAUUUGAUUAUCAAUCUAUUCUUCUAAGUGAGUAAAUGUACUUAUUUAGCCUGAUGCAUUUUUUCAGUCUUUGCUCUCAUUUCGACAGUUUACACUGUGCUUUCUUGCGUUUUCAUAAGCUUAGCAGUAAUUAAAUGUUCUAGGUUCAUUUGAUUUGAUAACAAGCAGCAUACAUGUGACAUAUUGAGUCUGAUUUUGACUUUGUAAGCAAUGAAUCACAAUAAUAGUGUUUAAUUUGCAUUUUGUUGUACGUCGCUCUGGAUAAGAGCGUCUGCUAAAUGCCAUGUAAUGUAAUGUAAUGUAAUAAGGACGGAGAUCUCUUUUUCCGUGAAUUUUCCCUACAGCCCCCUUUCAUGAAAAGGUUUCAGCUGUCAUCACAAAGGAGGGUCAAAAGAUGUUGAUAGCGAGGCUGAAAAACACAGCAAAAAGUAUAACACAGUCAGAAAUCUCUCAUACAGUUCCAGCCAUGACCUAUGAGGACAUGAAUUCAAUACUGCAGCAGAUUAAACAAGUUUUAGCUAAGUUUUAUCUAAAUUCUGCUGCUGCACAUAACACAAACGAUAUGACUGACAAUGCAAACUUCAAACCAUAAGGGUACAGAAGGGUUUGGGUGUCAAUCAAUAAUGAAACUAUUUGUGGCAAUUGUACUGGCAAUAAUGUGAAAUAAGGUAUUUGUGUAUGUAAGAGAUACAAAUGGGAAUGCAAACUGCCUGUAAAAAUGUAACGCAUAGUUAAGAAUACCAUCACUGCUCCACUGUCAUAUAACCGUACAACACACACAUUGAUGUUUGUUAUGGCCAUACCUGUUUACACAGAUAAAUGCAGAUGAGAAGGGAUUGAUUCAGAGAAUUCUGAAUCUUAAUGGGCCCUCAGGAAUAAAGGGGAACUACCAAGACACACACUGGGAGCCACGGCAGCAUCAGUACUGACGUUACUGGAUGCAUCGGCUCUGACUUGUUACCUUACAUUACAUUACAUUACAUUAUUGGCAUUUAGCAGACGCUCUUAUCCAGAGUGACUUACAGUUGAUUAGACUAAGCAGGAGACAGUCCUCUCCUGGAGCAAUGCAGGGUUAAGGGCCUUGCUCAAGGGCCCAACGGCUGUGCAGAUCUUAGUGUGGCUACACCGGGAUUAGAACCACCGACCAUGUCCCAGUCAUUGACCUUAACCACUACGCUACAGGCCGCCCUACCUUCAGGUUAUAACAAACACAAAAUGGAUGCUGAGCACAGGGAAAGGAAUGCUGUCAUGAAUAAAGUCGGAACACAGCAGUAUAUGUGUAGAGUCACCUAGUGCUACUGGGACUCCCUUCCCUUGGUACAGCUCCAUUGUGGUUGUUCCUGGUAUCCAGUGGUGUGUGACAUAUCUCCUUAAGUCCACUAUGUGGUGAGCCUGUGGUCACUUUGAUAAGGAUGUGUUGUUCCUGAAUUAAACCUUUCUCUCUUGUUUGCAUACAGGUCAAGGUUUAAGGGGGGAUUAUGUAGGGAAGAAUACAUUUCCUGCUU
Conger conger (European conger) is the source of this 5152-nucleotide long non-coding RNA. RefSeq lists it as uncharacterized. NCBI's taxonomy places the organism in Eukaryota, Metazoa, Chordata, Actinopteri, Anguilliformes, Congridae. The transcript has 4 exons. The record is from RefSeq and is a predicted model, not a curated record.